CUAGAACGUGUUACCGACCCUUUCCCCCGAGUCUAGCUACCCGAAUAAAUCCGAAGUAGGGUUGCCAGGAGUGAGUAGGCCCAAACCUCUGUCCCUGGCCGCAGGGGCCUGGGAACGGCUCUCCCGAGGGCCGAAAGGAGCCGAGCCGAGCUGACUCAGGGCCGACCCAAGGGUCGAGGCCCUGGGAGGACUUCGCAUUUAUUUAUUGUUGAGAGAGUGCAAGCAGGGGAGGAGCAGAGAGAGAGAGGAAGACACAGAAUGUGAAGCAGACUCCAGACUCUGAGCUGUCAGCACAGAGCCCAACACAGGGCUCGAACCCAUGAACUGAGAUCAUGACCUGAGCCGAAGUCAGACGUUCAACCAACCAAGCCAUCCAGGCGCCCCUUUCCCCUGCCACUUUAAACAAUAUACGGGGAACAUUAUAAUCAGAAACUAAGAAUUUUAUAUUUUUAAAAUCUUAACAUUUUGAACACCUGGUUCAAAUAUCUACUUAGAGUUUUUAAAUGACUCAAAUUCUCAGUAGGAUAUUAAACUUUAAUAUAGCUUAGUUGUAUUAAAUCAGCCUAGUACAUGAUUUUCUCACUGGUUCUCUUUCCCUUUAACAUAGUAGAUAAGGCCCCUGCCUGUCUCUCUAGCUUAUUACUUUCUCCUGUUUUCUGAACUCCAGCCUUAAGUUUCAAGGUGUACUAGUUAUCCUCCCAACUCAGGACCUUUGCUGAAGGAUACAUUCUACCUAGAAUGCUGUUUACCCCUUCCCUUCCCUUAACCACAAACAUGGUCCUCAGACCAUCCAUCAACUCUAGUUCAAAAAAAUACCAUCUAGGAGCACCUAACUGGCUUAGUCUGUAGAGCACACAACCCUUGAUCUCAGGGUUGUUAGAGCCCCAUAUUGGGUGUAGAGACUACUUAAAAAUGAAAUCUUUAAAGAAAUACCAUCUGUGGGAAAAACUUUGACUCUACUAGGUCAGUUCUUGGUUUGACACUCUUGGCAACCCAUACUUCAUGACUUAACACAGUUUAUAAUUGUUGUUCAGUGUCUGUUUCCCCACUAGAUUGCAAGCUCCAAGAUAUCAGGAAACCUGCUUAUCAUUCCUAGCAUAGAGUUGGCUAAAAAAAUAAUCAGUCCCAAAGUAAAACUAUUGUCUCAUAAUUACUAGGCAUGUAAACUGCAUCAUACAAUUCAUUCCAUUUGGAGCAUUUAACUGUUUUCUGACUUUGUAGUAUUUAAGUAUUUGAUUAUAAACACUUGCUUUCACAUACUUAGGCUUUUUUAAAAGGUUAAAACUGAGCAAGUAAAGAAGUGUUGACAAUUCUACAAUUCACACUGAGAUGUUUUCACGUAAAUUUUAUUAUAAAAGUCAUAUAAUAAAUUCACAUUGAGAUGUUUUCAUGUAAAUGUUAUGUCAUACAAUAAAAAAAUACAGAAUGGUAUGUAAGAAGAUAGAAAGUAAAAAUCCCCCUCACCCUCCAAUCUUUCAGUGUCACAACUGCAGUUUCUUUAAAAUACUGAAAUUUAAUAAGUAUUCUAAUGAGUCACAAGACUUGUCUCUCUAUUGGUUUGUUUUAUAUAGUGUUGAGACACAUUAAAACAUUAAGCAUCAUUUAUAGAGGGUUGAAAAAAAUAUGGUUAACACUGGGUUGCCAAAAGCCCAUUUUCUUCACAUUUAAUAUUCUUCCUCAUUAAAAUAUUGCUCUAACACAGGUACUUCCUACCCAUACUGAUCACCAAAAUUUUAUUGUCUUAUCUUGCAAGUGUAGCACAUAUAUAAUUAAACAGUUGGUAAACAUAUAGAGAUUGAGCACAAAUAAGGCCCACAAAGUACUGCUGUGUAAUGUAUCUAUCAACAGGUUGAUCAGACCAGUAGUUAUAUUUGACAGCAAGAAAAAAAUUAACUGGUUUCUGUUCAUAGCUGUGAUUAAACAAAGACUGGGUUCCUUUCUUUCAGCUUCAGAGACCAGAGAUUCUAAAUGUUUUUUAUUUGUGACAGAUGAAUGGAUCAGUUUCCAAGAACAUGGUACCACAGCCUCUUUAAUUAGAAAUUUGGCAAAACUCAAAAUUAUAUCACCCAGUAAUAAACUACUAAGAAGGAUCAGGCUAGAAGCAACUAUCCAAAUACAAAAGGCUAAAUUGGCCAUUCUCCGAGAUACUACUUCUACAUUUACCUGAACUAUGUAGAGAGAUAUGAAGAGACUAAUAGCUGUCAGCAAAAUACAGUGGGCUCCUUUUAUCCAGUCUUUGACAUGUGAUCUUUUUUUAAGCAUAUAUGACCCUGUUUGCACGCCAGCCAUAUGAAUUGCCACAUACCCCAAGGUAGAAAUUAUUCCUUCUCGGUUGGCAUUUAAUAAACCAACCCUUGUGCCACUACCAUCAGUGCCA
Long non-coding RNA from Acinonyx jubatus (cheetah), 2377 nucleotides. RefSeq lists it as uncharacterized. NCBI's taxonomy places the organism in Eukaryota, Metazoa, Chordata, Mammalia, Carnivora, Felidae. The transcript is spliced from 2 exons. The record is from RefSeq and is a predicted model, not a curated record.